This 345-nucleotide unclassified non-coding RNA is filed under the name Basidiomycota sp. RNAcentral's name for it is "partial contains small subunit ribosomal RNA, internal transcribed spacer 1, and 5.8S ribosomal RNA". The stretch from base 1 to 47 matches the Rfam family "Eukaryotic small subunit ribosomal RNA", at positions 1785 to 1831 of the family's 1831-position model. Lineage: Eukaryota; Fungi; Basidiomycota. The record is from RNAcentral.
AAAGUCGUAACAAGGUUUCCGUAGGUGAACCUGCGGAAGGAUCAUUGCAGGAAGUCUGAAUUUUCAGGUGGCACUUGUGCCGCCUGGGAACAUUGGGUCGUCUGGUGGUGGGUGGUGGUGGCUGUGCUGCUAUGGCAGUUGUGCUGUCAUGGUAGCUGUGCUGUUAUGGCAGUUGUGCUGCUAUGGCAGUUGUGCUGUCAUGGUAGCUGUGCUGUUAUGGCAGUUGUGCUGUCAUGGUAGCUGUGCUGGCAUCAUUUCCACUCCGGACAACACACGCGCGUGUCUGUGUGCCAGUCAUGUACGCAACGAAUACAACAACUUUUAACAAUGGAUCUCUUGGCUCUU